RNAcentral lists this ribosomal RNA (1045 nucleotides) under Vibrio parahaemolyticus. RNAcentral's name for it is "bacterial SSU rRNA". It matches the Rfam family "Bacterial small subunit ribosomal RNA", at positions 488 to 1533 of the family's 1533-position model. The record is from RNAcentral. Lineage: Bacteria; Pseudomonadati; Pseudomonadota; Gammaproteobacteria; Vibrionales; Vibrionaceae.
AGCACCGGCUAACUCCGUGCCAGCAGCCGCGGUAAUACGGAGGGUGCGAGCGUUAAUCGGAAUUACUGGGCGUAAAGCGCAUGCAGGUGGUUUGUUAAGUCAGAUGUGAAAGCCCGGGGCUCAACCUCGGAAUUGCAUUUGAAACUGGCAGACUAGAGUACUGUAGAGGGGGGUAGAAUUUCAGGUGUAGCGGUGAAAUGCGUAGAGAUCUGAAGGAAUACCGGUGGCGAAGGCGGCCCCCUGGACAGAUACUGACACUCAGAUGCGAAAGCGUGGGGAGCAAACAGGAUUAGAUACCCUGGUAGUCCACGCCGUAAACGAUGUCUACUUGGAGGUUGUGGCCUUGAGCCGUGGCUUUCGGAGCUAACGCGUUAAGUAGACCGCCUGGGGAGUACGGUCGCAAGAUUAAAACUCAAAUGAAUUGACGGGGGCCCGCACAAGCGGUGGAGCAUGUGGUUUAAUUCGAUGCAACGCGAAGAACCUUACCUACUCUUGACAUCCAGAGAACUUUCCAGAGAUGGAUUGGUGCCUUCGGGAACUCUGAGACAGGUGCUGCAUGGCUGUCGUCAGCUCGUGUUGUGAAAUGUUGGGUUAAGUCCCGCAACGAGCGCAACCCUUAUCCUUGUUUGCCAGCGAGUAAUGUCGGGAACUCCAGGGAGACUGCCGGUGAUAAACCGGAGGAAGGUGGGGACGACGUCAAGUCAUCAUGGCCCUUACGAGUAGGGCUACACACGUGCUACAAUGGCGCAUACAGAGGGCGGCCAACUUGCGAAAGUGAGCGAAUCCCAAAAAGUGCGUCGUAGUCCGGAUUGGAGUCUGCAACUCGACUCCAUGAAGUCGGAAUCGCUAGUAAUCGUGGAUCAGAAUGCCACGGUGAAUACGUUCCCGGGCCUUGUACACACCGCCCGUCACACCAUGGGAGUGGGCUGCAAAAGAAGUAGGUAGUUUAACCUUCGGGGGGACGCUUACCACUUUGUGGUUCAUGACUGGGGUGAAGUCGUAACAAGGUAGCGCUAGGGGAACCUGGCGCUGGAUCACCUCCUUA